RNAcentral lists this ribosomal RNA (497 nucleotides) under uncultured bacterium. RNAcentral's name for it is "partial 16S ribosomal RNA". It matches the Rfam family "Bacterial small subunit ribosomal RNA", at positions 28 to 507 of the family's 1533-position model. The record is from RNAcentral.
GAUGAACGCUGGCGGCGUGCCUAAUACAUGCAAGUCGAGCGCACGGACGAGAAGCUUGCUUCUCUGAUGUUAGCGGCGGACGGGUGAGUAACACGUGGAUAACCUACCUAUAAGACUGGGAUAAAUUCGGGAAACCGGAGCUAAUACCGGAUAAUAUUUUGAACCGCAUGGUUCAAAAGUGAAAGACGGUCUUGCUGUCACUUAUAGAUGGAUCCGCGCUGCAUUAGCUAGUUGGUAAGGUAACGGCUUACCAAGGCAACGAUGCAUAGCCGACCUGAGAGGGUGAUCGGCCACACUGGAAUUGAGACACGUUCAAGACUCUUACGGGAGGAGGAAGAAGGAAAUCUUGCGCAAGGGGCGAAAGCCUGACGGGGCAACGCCGCGUGAGUGAGGAAGGUCUUCGGAUCGUAAAACUCGGUUAUUAGGGAAGAACAUAUGUGUAAGGAACUGUGCACAUCUUGACGGUACCUAAUCAGAAAGCCACGGCUAACUACGUG